AAAACCAAGUCCAUCACGGCAGAAUUUGAACUCAGAACGUAAAGACGGACGAAUCGCCGCUGUGCAUAUUCCCUCGGCUUGCUAACGAUUCUGCUAGAACAAUCGGUUUUGAGAGAAGAAAUACUACUAAUGUCGUCACAACCACCAGCAUAACUACUACUACUACUACUAAUAAUAAUAAUAAUAAUAAUAAUAAUAAGAAGAAGAAGAAGAAGAAGAAGAAGAAGAAGAAGAAGAAGAAGAAGAAGAAGAAGAAGAAGAAGAAGAAGAAGAAGAAGAAGAAGAAGAAGAAGAAGAAGAAGAAGAAGAAGAAGAAAAAGAAGAAGAGGAAUCACAAACCGAUUAUAAGAAAGCCUAUGACAUGAUCCCACACUCACGGACAAGUGAAUGUUUGAGUAUAUUCAGUAUUGCAGACAACCUAAGCGAGUUAACUAACCUUAGCAUGAAUGAAUGUUGCUGUAGGACACCAGCUUUGACGACAUAUUCUCUUCAAUGGAGGUGAUAUAGAAAAAUAAUACUUCAAACAAAGUAGAAUAGCAUCUAGUGAAAAAAAUAUUUAGCCUGUAUUAGCUUUCGAUUAAGUACCAGAUGGAUUGUACUAU
Long non-coding RNA from Octopus bimaculoides (California two-spot octopus), 602 nucleotides. The record is from RefSeq and is a predicted model, not a curated record. Lineage: Eukaryota; Metazoa; Mollusca; Cephalopoda; Octopoda; Octopodidae.